Numida meleagris (helmeted guineafowl) is the source of this 15971-nucleotide RNA transcript. It is a transcript of the gene named fragile histidine triad, with no coding region annotated. The record is from RefSeq and is a predicted model, not a curated record. The transcript has 11 exons. NCBI's taxonomy places the organism in Eukaryota, Metazoa, Chordata, Aves, Galliformes, Numididae.
GACACAGGCUGUCUACAGCAUACAACAAAAAGCAGGGAAUUGGCAACACCACCAGGCGCACACUGGGACGCUCGUUUUUGUACCUGCAACAGUGGGACUUUGAGAAGCCAAGAGCAGCACCCACGCACUUCGCGUGACUCUUACACACCAGCAGCUCCGGGCACAGCCGAGCCUCAGGUGUGCACGAGGCCACUUGCAGAGAGCUGCCAGCCGGGACACGCCGGCACGAGCCCGCCCUCACACCGCGCGCGGCGGCCGCUGAGCACCGACCCGCCCCUCAGCUGCUGCGAGCCGCCAUCGGCACACCCCUUUCCGCCGGAGUGACGCAUGCGUGCUAGGAGACGGAGCGUUACUUACCCAAAUAACAUGUGGUAAGAAGUCAAGCCCUGAGGAAUUGUUAGGUGGAAAUAGAUGAUCCUUCUGUGGCUUUAUAUACAUCCUACCCUACUUGAGCAAAGUCCAGAGAAUCUCUUAGUGCUGCUUAGGGAAAUUUUAUCAGCAUCAGUAUAAUAUUAAGAGGAGGAAUCAAGCAAUUAAUUUCUUUCAAGGUUAGAAAUUGUUUAUGUGUGGAACAUGUUCGUGUCAAACUGUCUGGAUUUUGGCUGAGAAAUCUGCUUUCUUCGGGAGCUUUCACUGAACUGGAGUGGUGGAGGUGUUUCAGGUUCAUGUACCCAAAGGAUAACGUUUAUCAUGCUCCGGUUCGGCCAGCACUUCAUCAAGCCCUCUGUGGUCUUCCUGAAGACCGAGCUCUCCUUUGCUCUCGUGAACCGCAAGCCAGUGGUCCCGGGCCAUGUUCUCGUUUGCCCUCUGCGGCCAGUGGAGCGUUUCCGUGACCUGUGUCCCGAGGAGGUGGCUGAUUUAUUUUGCACGGCGCAAAGGGUUGGCAACGCAGUGGAGAAACACUUCUGUGCCACCUCACUCACCAUCGCAAUUCAGGAUGGCCCUGAGGCUGGACAAACGGUGAAGCACGUUCAUGUCCACGUCCUUCCAAGGAGAUCGGGAGACUUCAGCAGGAAUGAUGAUGUCUACAAGGAGUUGCAGGGACAUGACAAAGAGGAUUCCCCUGACAAGUGGAGGACAGAAGAGGAAAUGGCAGCUGAAGCAGCAAUUCUGAAGAAGUAUUUUCAAGAAAAUUAAAGGUAACAACGUGUCUGAAAAACAUCCUGUGACAUAAGGAAGACCUCAUUCUCCAGUUCUCGGCAGCCCUGGAGUUGCAGCUGAACGAUUUUAUUAUGGUCUACAAAUAGGGGAUUCUUCCGUGAAAAAUUUUAUUGGACCUUUGGAUAUCAUCAAGGACGAAUUUCAGCUAAGACAACUAACAGCGCUGAUUCAAAGUACUGCUCUGAGUAGUAGAGUAAAUGAAAAGGCCAUUUUGAUGGUUUCUGCACUUUUUGGACCCUGAACAAGGGCUGAAUAAACAGGAAAUGAAGGUCAGGGAGCAAGAAGUGACGGAGGAGAAAAGGUGAGCAGACAGGCUGGCAGAUGGGCCAAUAUGAAUGGUUGCCCUUUUGCACUUUAAAUAUUUAAAGUGUCUGUGAUUCUGCGAAGAAAGAAAACAAAGGUUGCUCUAGUGGGAAAAUGCUAAAUGGAAAACCUGAGCAUCCAUUACAUUUCCAAACCGUAGUGGCUUCCAAUUAAGUAUGGAAUGUUCUGUAUUAAUGCCGUAGCCCAUGAUGAGCGGGCGCUGUGCCAACCAUUUUGCACGGGGGCUGCUGAGCAGAUGAGUACUGAGCUGUAUGGAACAUUUCAUUUGUGUAAAUGAGGAGGCCGUUAUCACAGCACUGAAGGUCCUGUUUUUAAAAAAAGCCUCCUGUGGCAUUAUGCACAAAACAACCUAUUUAUGCAGCAUGAAAAUAUUUAUGUGCUGAGCUCCAGCUUUAAAAGGGAAUUUGCAAUAGAUGAGGGACAGGAGAAAGGAUUGGAGUGAGAGAUAAGAAGAGAUUAGAAAAGGCAGAUCAUGAAGUACAUGACAUCCUGCAGCAGUAUGUAGAGUAACUCCCCUACCCUUUUUUAAGACCUGAGCUUUAGGGAUGGGGUCUGGAUCAUUCAUAUCUUUCCUAUAGACUUAUUUUUCUUCACACAGGGUGUUCUGUACAAUGGUACAGUUGCUGAAAGUGCAAGGAUACCCUGUGCUGAAGGCAUUGCUGGUCUUUGUAAGCUAAGCUUUUUGUUUCCAGCCUUAAUCACUGUACUUGUACUGGGACUUGGGUCGUGUCCAGCAUGCAGCAUGCCCAGGGCUUGCCUUUAACUGGAUGAUGCUGUAAGGUACUGAGCUCCUCCACUGAGAAGAGAAAACACAGGAAAAAUCAGAAAGGUGAAGAGCAGCUUGCUGUGCAGGGCUUAGGUGGACAUGGUGCAAAUGGAGCAGUCCCAGCACUGUGGCUUCCUAACACAGGGCAGAGCUGAUUGUGCUUGCUGUUAAUGGCUUGGGACCAUGUUCCUAUCUUUAUACACAGGCAAAUUUCCCAGUUUUUUUCCAUUAGUAAAAGUUUACUUUGUUGAAGUGAGCAGUUCCUCCAAGGGGAUGCAGUGACUAUGCCUGCGUGCCUCUGUUUUCAUUAGCAGAAUAGCUGUGUUUCAGCUGCGUUGCUCUUCAUUGACUUUGUAGGAACAGGCUGGGAGAAAGAUGUGGCUCCAGCUGCCCUCUUAGCCCUGCCUGCUUUGAAACAGAAAUUGCAGAAAAGCUGUCUCUUGCACCAUUAGUCCUGUAAGCAGGAGCACAGCCAGGUUACUGGGAGCAUGCAGAGGAGCCUGUCAGGGAGCACCGACCCAUUGGGGACACUGUUGGUCCAUGGACUUGGGCCCUGCCACACCAGGCAGCCCUGGCGUACAGUGCCAUCUGAAAGCCACCUGGCACCAUCUGCUCACACAGAGAUUUUUGGGGCUGGGCAAAAACAUUAGGAAUCAGCUCCGAAGGCUUUGGCAUAGCAGGAGCCUGGGCCUGUGUUGUGCUAUGCAAGGUCACAAUACCUUUCUUCUGCCCCUCUGCUCCUGGUUUUCCAAGAAUGCUCAUCUAGACCACAGUUACAGUUCUUUGUGCAGCUUAGGUGGCUACUUGUCCUGUGGCGAAUCUGCUUGCACUAAGGCAGUCAGGUAGUAUUCUAGUGCUUCCAGUGAGAACAGGAGGAGGAUUUUUUUUUUAAUUAUCUUUCAGCAAUUCAGCAUCAUUAUCCCUCCAGAUUUAGGAGAAUCCUUCCCAGCAUCAGCCUCCAGCCCUUCACGUGGGGUCAGUUGCUCCUGAGAUGGCUCAAAGGCGCUCACAUGCUGAUGGACCAAGGGACCAGGAGUGUGCCAUGUCCUCUUCUUGAAGUCUUUGUGCAGUGCUUCAGAAAUCAGCACCGUGCUGCUUGUAACCCCUCAGAAACACACACAUCCCUCCCCCAUGUGUCAAGCUCUCAUUUGAUCAGUAGCUCAGAUAGCACAGUGCUUAGUUUUUAAUUAAUGUUUCAAAAAGGGAAAAAUUGAGAGUUUGGUCUCUGUAGCCUGAGUUGGCUGCUGACACACAAAGAUGUCUGAGACGGAGGCUCCUGGCUGGAAUCGGGGGGGAGCUGAGGUCAGCUCCUGCCUUGUGACAGCACCCUGAAAGGCAUCUGGGGACUAAGCACCGCCUGAAAUAAAUUUUUAAAAAGUCAUGCAUGGUCUGUGAAGCAAUAAAAAUCAGUGCUCCACUACCACCAGAGCUAAAGGAAAACUUUUAAUUCUAACUACUCAGACUGACAGCCAUGAAAGUACCUAAUUCACUUCUAUCUCAGCUCUCUAUGUCCUCCUGUCGACUCCUCAUCUUUAGCUGUCACUGUGGUCCUGCUCCUGUGUCUAGUCCCAAACGUACAGGCCAGCAGUGUGGGGAAGGAGAAAAUGCUGCUGCUGCUCAUGUAAGUUGUCCUGAGUGUUGGCAGAGCUGUGAGUUUCAGAACAGAGUGAUGUAUUUCAGCUGUUGUGAAAUUCCUGAAUAAUCAGCUCAUCAAAAAAUAUCAUGCAGAGUUCCCUUGUAGCCUGCUCCAACCUGCCACCUCUCCUGCCAAUAGCUCUGUAGGGUGACCACUGCCUGGCACAGCCCAUUAACAGAGGUCUGCACAAUUGCUCAUGAAUAGAGCUGGCUGGAAAAUGCAAUUUUUCUUCUUGUGGGGAAAAAAAAAAAAGAGAUUAUUAGGACAAGAGUCUUUCUAGCUUUGCAUUUCAGGAUGAAGAUUUCCUCCACUGUUCCCUCCAGCACCCUACUCCCCACCCCACUUUUUUGGAAGGCAACUCCAGGAAAAUAAGAAUCGCAUUUCAAGUGGCCAUGUGACUGCUGUUUGCCCUACUGAUGAGCUCCUGUUGGCCCCAAGGGUGGGAGUCUUACUGCAGGACAUGCGCCUUCUCAAGGUGGUGCUCCUGGGUGAUGUGUCCUAGGAACUGCAUUUUUUACUACUGCUACUCAGUCUCCUGUCUGAAGAGCUGUCGAGCAGCUACAAAACCACCAAAUAGGAGCUAAUGGCCUUAAGUUGCACCAGGAGAGGUUCAUGCUGAAUACUGAGUAAAAUUUCUUCUCAGAAAGAGGGGUGAGGUAUUGGAACAGGCUCACCAGUUUGGUGCGGAGUCACCAUCCCUGGAGGUGUUCAAGGAACAUGGAAGCAUCGUAACAUGUGAGUUGAUAUGGGUCGGUGGGGAUGGCACGAUGGUUGGAGGGGAUGAUGUUAGAGGUCUUUUCCAACCUUAAUGAUUCUAUGACUCUAUCCCCCAUAGAUUCUAUGACUCUAAUCCCUCUAUACCUACCUGAAAGGGCAGGUAUUGGAAGGGUUGACCUGUCCUGCCCACAGCUGUUCCUCAGCAUGUGGCCUACUGCAUGUGCUCUGGGGGGAUGGCCCAGACAGGGCCCCUGCGUCCUCAUCAGUGCAAAAUUGUGGUCCCCUGCUUUUAGUCACACCAUGUGAGAUACACACGUGGUACACACAAACAAGAGCAUGCUUGAAACUCAAGCUUCUUAGGUAAGUAAAUAUGUUAAAAUAGCAAACAAGCCAUUGAAAAGCAACAGAAAGUCACCAGUCGCAAAAUGGAAGCUGCUCCUCUGUUCUCCACCACGGCAGCGCCGAUCCCCACUGCAGAGGAGGAUUUACUAAGAACAGACAACCUUCAUUUCAGGUAUUCUGUCUUUUGUCCUCAUAUCACAACAUUAACAUUAUCCCCACAUAAUUUUGUGUAUUUAAUUUUACAAUAGACUGUGCCAGUGAGCACUGCCUGUAAAUAUUUGAUCACUGCCAUUCCUCUAGGAUUAUCUUAUCAAGAGUAAAGAUAUUAAAAUAGAAAUCUUGUCAUGUUACUGCCUUUAUACUUCCAGCCUGAGAGUUGAUUGACAGAAAAUGAACUGCCUGAACUAGCUCUAAAGUGUCUUUUCACUGAGAGCUUCAAUGCCAGAGGCUAUAGAAAAAAAGGUAGCUAGUCAUCAGAAACUAAUGCCUUGCUGUAGUUAUGGAGCUUUUGUACUGAAGAUUAAAAAUGUGAAUCUACUAGGGGUAUUUUUACAAGUGUAAAAUGGUGGUGGUCUUUUUUGUAUCUUUUUGCCAUCUCUAAUGAGCCUUAAGAAGAGCCUUCCCUUUCCUCCCUGUAGUUGAAUAUUCGAUGCAGCCCAACCGCAGCUCUCAGACAUGGGCUGAUAUUUUGCAAGAGUAAGCUCUUGACUUAUCUAACCUACAAAAUUUCUUUUUCAUGAUAAAAUGGAUUGCAAGCCAGGACUGAAUGUUCCUGCCUAGCUUGGAAUAUCAAACCACAAUAGACAAGUCCAGUUUUCUGUUUAUGGCCAGUUAAAACACACCAGUAAUGCUGUUUUAAUGUUCCAAAAUUACUCUGAAAUUGUCAUGUGUCUGAAGAGCACCAUGCUGUAAAUACAUCGCCAUUCCCUGAGGGCUCAGCCAGCCCCUGCUCCAGCACAAAUCAAUGAGAGUUUUGCUGGGGUAAGGACCUGAGCACAAUUCAGGAAAGUGCCUAAGCACGAGUAAACUUUAAUCACAAGCUCUUGCUUCUUAGAAAUCAAUAAAGACUUAAGCAGGGGCUUAAGUGCUCUUUUCUGGGGGGGGGAGGGGCCAAGAAUUCCCAGCAUCUGGAAUAAAUCUGGCUCUGUCUCAUCAUGAUCCUAGAGGGCAGGAGGGGGUGGUUGGUUCACAGAUCUGUCCCAUUGCAAUGAUAAACUGUAGCUGCUGCCAUUAAAUCAUCCCAGCCCUUCAUGAUGGGAACAAAGUGUGAGUAUGGGAUGACCACAGUUGGAAGGACUGGAGGAGGGAGUGCAGCCUUGAGCACUGUGCUUUGGCCAGAUCAUUGCUCCCAUUUUUUUCUCUAACAUGAGCAACAACUGUAUGAAAUGAAAAUAAUUGGAUGCUAAGCAGCCUAUUACCACGCUGACAUGAGAGGGAUUUACAUGGGUGACUCCCAUUAGCAGUAAUGUGUGGUCCCCUCCACGCUUUCACUGGGCUCUAGAUGCAGAAAAGAUUGUCCUAACAUUUCACUUAUGGGAAAGGUCAAGAGCUGUGGUUUUGUUCAGUGCGCUCGAUAUAUUCAAUUAAAAUAUACUGGCAUGUUCAUCAGCUAUUAACUGUCUUUGCAAUAGCUGUAAUUAAACAGAUGCUUAGGUGUGAAAGGAAAUCCUUCAAGAUGAGCUCUGACACAGAGGCUGAGGGGAGCAGGAACUUCCCGGGUCUCUGUUGUUGGUUUCUUCACAUCUGUUGACUCAGCCAACAGGACUUUUCCUUUCCUUGCUGCUGGGUGAAGGGGUGUUGUGCCCCUGACAGCCACCAGUUCCCUGCAGGGAAGAUGUGAGAGCAGAGAACGAGGGGCCCCUUCCCAGGGAGGGAUAGGAGGGUGGUAUACAGGGUCUGGCAUCCCUGGGUGGGGGGCAGCCAGGCACUGUUCGCAACCACACAACUUACAUGCAGAAGUACUUCUUGCUUACCAUGGAUAAGAGAGCAGGAGAGAGAAGUCUGCUUCAGCAUUUUUAGCAAACUCAGAGGUUUCAGAGAGUUUAGCAGCCGGUGGCCUCCGAUUCAAUGGGCUGUAGGGAGUUAAAAGCCACACACCCUGCUUUGAAAUCUUUCUCCAAAGAGGCUGAAAUGAAGAAAAGCUAGUGCAGAGUAGAGGAGUGAACUGAAGGAAGCAAAAAGUAAUUACUUGAGCCAACUGCUCUAAUUAUAUAGACACAGCAGAGCAAUGUGAUAGUAAUCAUUGGCACUCUUAAGAUGGAUGGGGGGGAAAUAGAGACAUAGUAGAAAAUAACACAGAAUGAGGAAUUAGUAUUCCUCAGAAAAGAAGCAUAGCAAGAACAACUGUGAGGAGUCUCAUUGCAGUUGAGGACAAGAAGGAGCUGAGCCCAGUGUGAUGUCAACACCAUACCUGCUCUUCACCAGGGACCCCUCAGGACCAAGUAAGCAGGGGGUAAGUGUGUGUAACGGAGGAAGGGAGGGAAGGAAAACAGGCAGGCAAGAAAGAGGGUGGGUAGGAGGAGGAAGGGAAAGAAGAGGGGGAGGGGCUGAGGCAGGGAAGGAAGGGAGGGGGGGAGGAAGGGAGGGUCCUUUGUCCACAACAGAAGAUUCUGUUAAAUGUGAGCCUACCUCAUGCAGCUGCUGGGUGGAACCAAGAUUGUGAGAAAACCUCCAGUACAUCUCUGAAAUUGAAGUGCUAUGCAAAGGGCUUGUGGUCACAUUCAGGAAGACUGAAGUAUCCCUUUGGUGCAUCAGUUUUUCAAGCAUGUUUCACAAGCUUGACCUCUGUAUGAAAAGGAGAGAGACGUGAGAGUUAAGUGACAGUUCAUUCACAGGAGACCAAGGCUGUGUAAGAGCCUGGGAGACUCUUGUUUCCCGUUUUUGUGCAGUGACAGAUGUUUUACCGGCAGCUCUGCUGUCCCUGGGAACAUCUGUGCAAUGGGGAACCAGCAGCAUUUGCACACUGAAGUUUCUCCUUGUGCUCACUGGCAGAAUAAAGGGGAAAACUGAGAAGAGCCAAGCCCACAAGUGGCUCUAAGCAGCAGCGCUUCCAGCCCACUUCUCCAGCUCUAGCUUCCUAUUCAGCCUGGCUCUGCGACUGUUCCAGCAGCGUGUGGACAGUACUGUGCUUGGCUGUUGUUAUUUCUCACUCAGUUAUGUCCUGCUCUUACAGCACUACAGAGAACAGAUGUGUAGGUUUACCUUGGGACAGAUACAUUAUGUAUACAGCAUUAACUUCACACCCAUCCAGUCCUCAUUUUAAUUACCCAGACAGUGGGGGACCAGGGGAGUUUUCUGGCAGAACUGUUGGGUUCAUUAGCAAUUCCCCAGACCUCGACUGGCUGCAAACAGCCUCACCCAUGUAGCACGAGCCUUCCAGUAAUCACCUAGAGAAAGUCCAAAGGCUGGUACACGCCUAUGGGCUUGUACAGGCUCCUUGCACCAGCCUGAGUCACACCACGAAUGAGUGCUUUGGCAGAAAGCCUCAGCAUGGCACAAAAUGUGGCCCACAGGAUGCUGGAAGACAAGUUGGGCUCAAAGCAUGGCAGUAGUUUGUCUGAUCUCUGACCCCUGCCAGGGGAACAGAAGUGUGACAGGUCCCUGUAGGCUGCAGCACUGUUAAUAAAAGCUUUUAGCUACACUCAGGGGAGGGGGCUGAUCUCACCAUCUCUCAGGUUUUAAUAGGUGGCAAAGCAUACCUACAGCAUUUGGUUUUGUCACUCAUGUGACACAUCUCCUCUUUGAACUGACACAAGCAAUGCCCUUAUGUUUUGUUAGCUCCAGAGGAACUCACAGCUUCAUUCUCAGAUGCUGAAAAUUCCUCCAAAUUCUAAGAGAGCUAAAUCGGAGUAAAAUACAAUAAAGUAGGUAGAACUGAUCUGAGCAAGUAGCAUUUCCUUCAUCAAGCCUGCUGCAUCAAAGCUGGGUGAGGAGAUGCUUCCUACAUUUGUGCCAUUCCCAAGAGGAGCAGAAGGGGAGGGCAUUGGCCCACUUCCCCCUUUGCAACCUUCCAGGUGGCAGCUGGCUCCACUGGCCCCGUCCUGAAGCCACCUCUCGUUAUCCCAGCCGCCCAUCUCCCUGCUCACUGUGCAGCUGCACAGCUCUGCUUCCAGCCCAGGGGACAAGUCAUCAAUAUUCAUACGUCAGGUGAAAUUAAAAUUGUCCCUGUGAGUUAUUCUGUGACACAAGCUAGCACUGGCUAUAUUAAAGCCUAUUAAUUAGUAUUUAACUAAUUCUUUUCCUAGUCCAUAAACAUGGAAUGCUACUGUAGAGCACAGAGGCAAUUAUUUUCUGAGGUGCUUCAAGAUAUUAUAACUUUCCAAGUUAUUAAAGCUGCAUAUUUGUUAGAAACAGCAUGACAACUCUGUCACUGUUAGAGCCACUCCACCAGGACUAGAAAAAUCCUGACUAGACUGCAGUAGGUCAACAAUUUGCAAGAAAUAUCAGCUGAAUCAGGAACCUGAGGUUUCAUAUCACUGGAACAUUACUUAUUAUGUGCACAAAGAGCCCUACCUCAGCAGAACACCACGCAUUACUUAGCAAGGGCCAGCAUGGCAUGCCUCAUGUUUCACUAACUUCCACCCUUUCAAGCUUAAUUCUUUGCUUAGUUAUUUAUCAUCUGCUUUCUGAACCGGGAAGGAAGGGCAUGCAGUGGGAUAGGUAGCAGAAGAGCUUUGCGUUGGCAGUGAGGAAAACCAGCUUCCUGCAAACAUGUUUUCAUUGCUUACCCCUUACUUCGACAUGAUGCAGCGAGUACGAAGGCACGUCUCCAUUGGUUUCUUCUUACUCUUCCAUCCAGCAGUGCUCCACAGCUGUGAGCUACUCCUGUGGCUGGUGUGUUGGUGUGCAGAGGUGGUGAGCUGCCAGGGCUGCCUUUUUCCUGCAGGAUCCAGCACAGCUACGUCCACACAUUGUAUAAAUACAUCCAUCCAGGGCUUUCCUCUUCACCACCACUGCCAAUGGAGAAGGAAAUACAUCUCAGAUUGGUUGAAACAUAACCCUAAGCAAGUCUCAAGGAGAAGUAAUAAAAUGCAUAAUUACUUGCAUGUCUCAGAACCUGUGGAGGACUUCUGAUGAAGGCUCCUUCCUUUCUGCUCUCCAGGUCACCACACCUGGAAGGGGCAGCCAUGCUUUUUGUCUCCACCCCUAUGUGGGUAGAUGACAUUUAUUCCAAGAGUGACUUUCUCAGUGGCCUUAGGAGACCUGGGAGGCUAAGCUCCCACACAAGAGCCCUGGUGGCCUUUUGGAAAAUUCAGCUCUUUGUUUUCCUGCUAAAGUGGAACAGGGGAACAGAGAAGAAGAACAACAACAACAACAACAAAAAACCAACCCAACAAUAUCCCUUUACUGAAGUUGUCAUGCAAUGAGUCAUUUGCUGUCUGAUGGGAGAUGGGCCAGCGUCCCUCUCCGCGCUGCAGUGAUUUGACUAAUUACUUCUCUCUGCUCCAGCAGAAAAGCAGCCUCCUCCAGCCUCUCUGCUGUCUGGGUCCUGUCUGUCAGCAGCAGAGAAGCAGGCAUCCUUCUGUUUGGGGCUGUGGCAUUUUGCCUGCUCCUUACCGCUGCUGACAGGCAGGACCCAAAACCAAGUGCUCAGUGAAAAGCUGGAUCCUGAGAAGCUGGGCUGGGCAGAAUAGGGCUCCAGGGCUGACACUCAGCUGGUCGGAUCUUCUCAGCAGAAGAUGGUUGUGGCUGCCCAUUUUUCUCCCCUAGAAUUUGAGUACUGAUCCUGUUUGGUAACAAUCAGAGGGCAAAGACAGUGCAGGUACAUGUGGGGCUAGCCCCCAGCUCUUGCAAAAUGCAGUGUUCCCCUCCAAGCUCCAAGGAGUUCCCCUCCUAAACAGGGCAAAGGACUCUUUCUUUAAUUAACAGGAACUGUUAAUUAGAGGUGAGUAUUAUUAAAGUAAAUUAGAAGAAAAAGGGAGCUGUGUAUGUAGUCUGAUUACAUUUUUUACACUAGUUUAAAAUCACUACUGUGAUUUUUAAUUAUAGUGGAUCAAAGAAAAUAACCACAUUAAUCCAGUGUAAUCACGUGCAAGCUGAUUUGAUAACAACAUUGUAUUUAAUUGGCAGUAAGCUCAGGCAACGUUAAAUGCAAAUGAAAAGCACUGACACAUUCUGAAGACUAAUUAAUGUGACAGGCUGGUAGCAAAUGCAUUGUUUAUUACUACUAAUUUCCAGUAGCUGUUCAACACCAUUUUGUUACCAUGAUCCCUUGUGCUGUGUCCAUCACUGCAUGAUAUUUAAAAAGAAAACUGAACAUGAUUUGUUUUAAGGAGGAACAAAGGAGUUCAAAGAUAAUUAAAUUACACAUUUCAAAUACCAAGCUGAAGACAAAGAGCUUUAAAAGAUGGGAUUUUUCACAUCGCAACUGUGAGUCCCCGUGAUACGUGCACAUAGCUCACGUUAAUGCACUGUAUCAGUGAUGGCAGACACUUUUUUUCCUGCACAUUUUAAUGUUGUUAACGAAUGGUGAUUUUUUCAGGUUCUGACACAACUCUCAGUGAGGUAAACACAGAGAUUACCCUCAGGACCCUGCCAAAGCCCAAUAAGUCAUCGGAAGAAUUUCCUCUGGCUCCAGUGGGCUCUCAAUCAUACCCUAAGCUUUUCAGAUGAGGACCUGUUAUCCUUUUUUUUAUGCUCAGGAAGUGCCUAGCAGAAAUGAAGAGCAUUCAUUCAGAUAAAGUCUUUUAAACACACCGUCCUGAGAGUCUGCUGAAGCUCUCCUGUAUGGCACGCGUUACGAUUCUCCUGCUUGGCUGCGCUACCUUCUUCACUUGGUUCUGGACCUUAAUGGCGCGUAUUUGUCACACCUUGUUACAGCCUUGGUCAAUAGAGUAAUGGAAUAAUCAAUCAUCUAUAUUUUAGCGUGUGGCAUAAUAAAUACAGUGCAUAAUAGUCAUUCAGGUCUUCACCAAAGAAAAGUUGAACAAUUACAGUGGUUGUCAAUUGUAAACUGCCUAUGAUAAGUAUGCAAACAUUGACCCCAAGUGUUACACUGAGAACAUGGAAAUUAAAAUCAUCUAUCUUACUUGAUUCAGAGCCUCCCACAUAGCAGGGUUGGUAUUUAAGGAAAACCUUGGCUGGACUCAGAUUGCUUCUUUCUGUUAGAUUAAAAUUAAAUUAAGUCAAAAUUUAGAAAAUACUGGUUUAAUUAAAGAUACUUCACCAGCUCAUAAAUUAUGCAUUCUCCUUCCCGUUGCGAAGUGUGAGUUUGAUGCUAGGUGUCAGCGCUGCGGAGGAUUCCUAAAGGUUAGUUCCCAUUUAUGUGCUGCAUAAAGCAGGCUUCUAGAAACGAGUGACUAAUUAUUGAAGUUACCAAAUUGCUACCCUGGCCUGCUUAGCAAAUGCGCUCCCCUGACUUCAGCAAAAGCAGUUUUCUCUGGUGGCUCAGUCCAAGUAUGCAAAAUGUGACCGGGGAAAGAGACCUUGGCCAAAAGCAGACAUUGGCUUGGAAUCAAGCAUGACAAAUAUUAAUAGAUAAUUAUCCAGAAACUAAUUAUGAAUUGUAAAAACUCCGGCUAUCUUACACAGACCACUGCAAGGAAGAGUAUCUAUCUCUGUUUCAUUGCACAGUGGCAAAUGGAGAAUCCUCCCAAAGUAGCUUUCCUCAUCCUCUUACUCAUGCACAUCAACUAAAGACAUUUUCAUUUGAAUGAAAGGAAACAAUUUUAGUGGUGAAGGUGAUCCCUCAUUGAAAAAAAAAAAAAAAAAAGCUGCAGAAGAUAGAUAGAAAAUAGAGCAUCCAUUAUCCCCUAACACGGAUACCUGCUGGAUCAGCUGCUGUGUUGUAAAGCAGCUGCUACAGAGAGAAAGGAGCUCAUUGGCACCUUGCUGCCGGGAGUGGCAGCGGUUCCAGUGGAGGUGCUCCCAGCACAUCCUUCAAGGUGCAGUCUUCCCACAAAGGGUGGCUGUGGUUGCCUGAACCGGGGCUGAAUCAACACCCAGCGCAGCCUGAAAUGGCUGGAAAAUCCACUUAUGUGUGAUCCUGGCCAUUAGUGGGGUGCUGGGGGGCAGAUCACAGCGCUGAGCCCUUUGGCCCACCUCAUACCACAUUUUAGAAAGCUUUGCAGAGCUACAGCAAUCCCUCUGAGAGAAUUAGGAGCCCCUGAGCUGAUUAUUCAGAUAAAGGCACAGUGAGAUAAGUUCUGGUAUCAUCAGAAAGGGUGCAAAACACUGUCACACGAGGGAGAGCCGGGCGGGAUGUGAACUCUAUUUAAGCAGUCCCCGGGUAAACCAGCUCGCAGCCGACUGUCAGCUCCCUUCGAGCAGCGCCUUUGAUUGCAGCGCUCCGUGAAGGAGCACUUGUCACUUUUUAUCGAAGGAGAGGGGAAGAAAGCAAGGCAGCCCGCUGCCGGGAGAGGAGAUGCCACUCACUGUUCAUCUCUGCUAUAGACAGCUGCGGUGCCCCGGCUGCUGGUGAUCAAGGAGCAAGAAAAAGAACUGCACAAGUCUGCAGUGAGCACAGAGUGGGGAGGGAAGGCCCCACAUUCUGCUCAAAUCCGGUACCGAAAUGUCUGAGCCAGGGGAUGCAAGGGCUGGGAUAAAGGGCAGGUUCAGGGUGACCCAGAGCAAAGCUUUAAGUCCUCUUAUAACAAAAGGGCCAUAGACUGCUUGGCACUGUCUUGCUGGGGGCUGGUUGGCCUUUCCAGCAUUGGGAGUGCUCAUGGCAAGGGAGCAAAGCCACAGCACAGCCUGUCCCACACCUUUGCCUUCCCUUGGAAUCAAGCUUGGAGCUGUUCAAUGAAAUCAGGCCUGGGGAGCUGGAGUUCCUUACUCAUGGUAUUGAAGUCUUGUGAUCAUAUCUUUGCAAACCAGCCAGUGGAAGACAACAACACAGAGGCACAUGAGCUCAGGUAAUGAGAGAGCAUCUUUACCUGCCUUUGUUUGUCAGGAUCCUGCUUGUUCUAGAUAACAAUCAGCAAACAGAGAGCCAUGCAUGGAAGGCAAAGGCAGAGAAAGUCCAAUUUCCCCUCAGCCACUGGUGCUUGUGCUAAGAGCUACUCUGGCACAUUAAAAGAGACCAGAGAUGAUAGUGGUAACUGAAAAGAUGGAGGGAGUGGCUCCACAGACAUAGAAGAGACCAAAAUGCAAGGCAGUGUCAGAGCAUCCCCGUCACCACAAGGCAGAGCAUUUCCCACCAGAGCUGGGAAAGCUGGUAUUUAACAGCUGGGUCCUGCAGACAAACCGAUGUGCUUCUGUGGUUUUGUUGCUUAUAGCAAAGCAGAAAAUAUUUAUACCUAUUAUUAUUUUCCUAAAUUCAGCUUAAUUUUUGCCAGAUGUGUCUGAAAAGCCUGUGCAGAUUCCAGGAGGACUCUCUGGACACACUUCCCCACCGCACUUGGCAGCUCACCAUGGCACACAGCCGCGGUGGCAGCGAGGCUGUGACACCGUCCCAGCUGCGCGGUUCUGAGGGUCGCACCCCUGCGCAGGAGCAGGAGUCACAAAUGGUGCGUGUGUCCUGAAGCACUGAUGGGUCAGGUCACCACAAUCACUGACCCGCUCGCUUUAACGGCAUCAGAAUGAGAUAAGCAUAAUGUGCUGCAGAGGGUGGCUAGGCGGAGAUCUGAUUUUUUGGUUGUUGCUAGUGGUCGUUAGUCUGCUAGACAUCCUAAUGCACAUUGCAUAUGCUCAUGCUGUACGUUCCUUUGAAUAUGAGCACAGGGGGUCAAGCAAAACUGCUAAACUGCUACCAAUAUCAUCACCCUGUCUCAGGGCAGCACGUAGCCACCCAGACCCACAGCAGAGACCCAUUGUGCUAAGGUAUUACACAGCCCUUUGGCAGCGGAUGGUACCAACGUCACCUUCUACACAUGCAACCAAAGGGUGCAGGAGCAAGCACAGGACAGCCCUCCACGUGGAAGAAGAGGAAGGGAGCCACUCCAAGCCCUGAAUAUUGAGUUAUCAUCUGGACCUGGCUACAUUUCCCUAAGACUCACUUCAGUUCAUCCCACUGGUGGAUAGGUGACAUAUGGAAGUCUUCACGCUCCUGGCUGCCUUGCCAGAGGUCACAGCCCUUUAUUCUCCUCUGGUAAGGUGGGGGCUGGUCCUGGAAGCAUCGUGGGCUCUUCCCAUCGUAUCUGCCUUGUGAUUGCAUUAGCUCCCCACUGUGCACUUAUACAAAGGGGAACGGCUCCAGGAAGAAGCUGCCAGCUUCAAAACCACAGGAUGUUUUCCUACAGUAAAAACCCCACUGCAGUCCAGGGCUGGAUCAUGCUGCAGGCGCUGAUCCCACCAACAUCCAGUUGUCCGUGGGAUGCUCCCACCAGCGAGGAGGGGACCCUCUCAUGUCCCAGGAUGAACAGGCCCAGGCAAGGGGCACAGGCAUCACGGGGAAAGUUCUGUGUAUCUGUGGGGACGGCCCAGUGCCUGCCAGGGGACACAUGGCCAGAGCCAGCCCUGCCCAUGACACAGCUGCUGGGGAGCAGGGGGCUGUGCAUCACCCAUGGGACGCAUCUGUAUGCAGCUCCUCUGUUGAGUAAAGCAAUGAAAAUCCUUUUUCAUUGUCUACCGAGGGUUGGGGGUUUUUUGUCCUUUUUGUUCCUUUUUGUUUUUAAGAGAGACUGCAGAUCUUGCCUGUCCCAGGAAACACAUUAUAAAACUGCAAUUUGCCUGUCUUGGCUCUCUCACCCUAGCAUUGACCCUAAAGAUGAACUCCCAUGAAUAAGUCUAAUCCUGUUUUUCAUGUUUCCCCAGGUAAAUGAAUAUUUAUGAAUCUUUUCUCCAGAGCCAAAGCACGGCCCUUACAACCGGCCAUGAUAGUUCAAUUUGUUUUCUUGCCAAUUCUUCAAAUUGUUUGUUGUUGUUGUUGCUGUUCUUUUUGAAACUUAGGAGAAAAAAAAAUCUCAUUCCUGGUCGGUUCUUAUCAAAGCAUGUGGGGUUUUUUGUUUUUUGUUUUUUGUUUUUUUUAACUCAGCUGGUGCUUGGAGGCUUUCCAAUCGGCUUGAAUGAUUAAUGUGGUGCCACUGACUUGUUUUGUGUUUGUAUUGAAAAAAAAAAAUAAAAAAUGCACAAUUCAUGUUUUCCAAA